Molecule: long non-coding RNA, 334 nt
Filed under: Nicotiana benthamiana
Lineage: Eukaryota; Viridiplantae; Streptophyta; Magnoliopsida; Solanales; Solanaceae
Description: long non-coding RNA (NBEN_LNC039125)
Source: RNAcentral
UUGUUUGGCAGUGGAACAACAUGAAAUCUUUCGAUAGUCAUUUGGAUUGACUGCACAGAACAGCAUGUUGAUUGCUUUGGCAUUAUUUUCCACCUUUUUGAUAUCGUCCGCGGUAUAUUCUUCUUCUAGCUUUGGGACAAUUUUAUCACCCUCUACUUUGGUGGGAACCUGUUCGCCAUUUUUAAUAAUUUUCCAAAUUAGAAAAUUAUUAGCCUGGAUGAAUAUCCUCAUCCUUUCCUUCCAGUAGGUGUAGUUUGUUCCAUCAAACAGAGGUGGUCUUGUGGUGCAAGAUCCUUCGCCCAUUCCUGCACAGAGGUGUCAACCGGUUCCACCG